AACCACUUCUCGUCCUCGCGAACCCUGCCCAACCACUCGUCGCCUCCCCUUCCUCCCCGAGAACACGCGCCGCCGCCUCCUUCUCCCCGAUCCAGAUCGACACGCAAGCUCUCUCACCUAGCUAGCAUCGCCCCCUCCUCCCCCGUCCUCCCCCAGCCCUAGCCAUCCUCCCUUCCGCCACCACCGCCUGCUCCGCCUACUCCACCGCCGCCUCUGACGCCAUGGCGGAUGCCGACAGCAACAGCAACCCGCUGCUCGCCGACUUCGACUUCCCGCCCUUCGACCGCGUCGAGCCCGCGCACGUCUGCCGCGGGAUCCGCGCGCUCCUCGCCCGCCUCGUGUUAGGGUUUUGUUAUUCUUCUGCGCGAAAAGCCACGCAAGUCCGUGGAGGAGGGGAGGAGCAAGACGGGGUUGCUGGUCGGCGUGGACGACAGCGACCACAGCUACCGCGCGCUCGAGUGGGCUGUGAUUUACGUUGCGGAGACGGCCGGCACCGGGGCCCCUGUGGAGCUCGUCAUCGUCCAUGCCAAGCCGGCCGUGUCCUCCUUCUUCACCCUCGGCGGCCCCGGCACGUGCCGUCCGCGACCCCCUGCCUAGUAAUUCUUGGUUAUCUGAACCGGCCGGAGGCCUGAUUUCUGGAGAUCGAUCGAUUUUAGCCGCUGCCUUCUGUCUUCCACCCCUGCAUCCACUCGCUCCUCAUCUCCACGCCGCCUGUUGGCGACGUCCUCCUGACGCCAGGAGGAGUCGAAUGCAUCAAGUCCCCCUGCAUCGAGCACCGCCCUCAUCGGGUGGAUGGCACCAAGCGCACUCACACGCGUGGGGUCAAGGGCGUUUAGCGCGCCCCUGCCUGGCUAGAUCGCCAGCGCCUCCCCGCUCGAUCCCCUGCGCCCUGGACUCCGGAAGGUUGGUUGUGUCUGCUGGUGCAGGUGCAUGCAUCUCCCCUCGAGUUGAUGAGAUUCGAGAGAAGCCGAUGAGCGCCGUUCGGUGCGGCAUGGGACAGCUGCCAUGUGCUCUGCUCUUGGGACUUGUUUAAUCCUGAUAUAUCUGAUGAAAUAGUACUACUCUACUUCACUGUUUAAUUAGGCGAUGCAAAAUCCUGGUUCCAGAAUUGUAUUCUACCUAGCGGGAUACAUUCCUUGCCAUUGUAUCAUAUGGUUGAUUAGAUCGUAGUUCCAAGAGGAUCCCAAGAACAUGCUAGGAUUGCACCUGCGCCUUGCCUUGAUAUUAAUUAUUUGGUCUGGAAUGAUUGAUCUCUUUUUAUGGCCCUACUCAGGAUUGAGCUCCAAACUGAAUUAGAUGCAGCUGUUCAGUACAAUGGUUGUUCUUGAACUGCAGGGCCCGGAGGUUCCGCUGGUAACAAGUUCCGAAUAUCGCUUGGUCUGUCGGUGGCAGCCACUCUCAACUGCGCUAAUAACACUGGUGCCGAGAACCUCUACAUCAUUUCUGUGAAGGUAAUCAAGGGGCGCCUGAACAGGCUCCCUUCUGCCUGCGUUAAUGACAUGGUUAUGGCCAAUGUCAAGAAGGGAAAGCCACACCUGGGGAAGAAAGUCAUGCCGUCUGUCAUUGUGAGACAGCGUAAGCCAUGGCGCCGAAAGGACAGUGUCUUCAUGUACUUUGAAGGUGCUGGAGCAGCUGAGCGGACAGUCACCGGUGUUAUCCAAGGCGAGGUACAUUGUCAGGUCGUUCGGUACCAGGCGUAAUGAGAAGAUUUCAUGCUACGUAACUAUCAGGGGUGAGAAUGCGAUGUAGCUGCUGGAGAGUGGCCUGAAUUUGAAGGAGUACAAGCUGCUCAGGAGGAACCUCAGCGACACUGGAUGCUUUGCUUCGGUAUCCAUGAGCACAUCAAUCUCGGCAUGAAGUAGGUUGAAUUGUUGGCAACACUUCUUGUGUUAGUGAGCUACCGAGACUCUUGAGUUUGUGGUGAUGGCAGCUGACCCGGAGCUGAUCGAAAUCAUCCGCCACCCCCUGUUGCCCCCUGAUGAUAACAAGGGCGACCGUGGAAGGCAUGUUGCCGUUUUGUUUGUUCCCAGGCCUGAUUAUGGUCGUCCAGCGAGUCCGGCAUGUUGUUCAUUUGACUAUGGUCGCCCGGCGAGUCCAACAUGUUGUCAUUUUCUUGUAAAGCACUGUUGUAUUACACUUGUAGAGCUUGUAAAGUACUGUUUUACACAUGGUCAUAUGUAUUGGCAUGGAUAGAGCUUAUUACUAUGAUUGCGAUUGUAUUA
Long non-coding RNA from Triticum aestivum (bread wheat), 2222 nucleotides. RefSeq lists it as uncharacterized. Lineage: Eukaryota; Viridiplantae; Streptophyta; Magnoliopsida; Poales; Poaceae. The record is from RefSeq and is a predicted model, not a curated record. The transcript is spliced from 5 exons.